GUAGGUGGCAAGCGUUGUCCGGAAUUAUUGGGCGUAAAGCGCGCGCAGGCGGUUCUUUAAGUCUGAUGUGAAAGCCCACGGCUCAACCGUGGAGGGUCAUUGGAAACUGGAGAACUUGAGUACAGAAGAGGAAAGCGGAAUUCCACGUGUAGCGGUGAAAUGCGUAGAGAUGUGGAGGAACACCAGUGGCGAAGGCGGCUUUCUGGUCUGUAACUGACGCUGAGGCGCGAAAGCGUGGGGAGCAAACAGGGAUUAGAUACCCUGGUAGUCCACGCCGUAAACGAUGAGUGCUAAGUGUUAGGGGGUUUCCGCCCCCUUAGUGCUGCAGCUAACGCAUUAAGCACUCCGCCCCGGGGAGUACGCCGCAAGGCUG
RNAcentral lists this ribosomal RNA (373 nucleotides) under uncultured organism. RNAcentral describes it as "partial 16S ribosomal RNA". It matches the Rfam family "Bacterial small subunit ribosomal RNA", at positions 527 to 896 of the family's 1533-position model. The record is from RNAcentral.